Molecule: unclassified non-coding RNA, 230 nt
Filed under: uncultured fungus
Lineage: Eukaryota; Fungi
Description: sequence contains ITS1, 5.8S rRNA gene
Rfam family: 5.8S ribosomal RNA (bases 182-230)
Source: RNAcentral
UCUCCGUUGGUGAACCAGCGGAGGGAUCAUUACCGAGUUUACACCUCCCAAACCCCUGUGAACAUACCUCUAUGUUGCCUCGGCGGAUCAGACCGCGCCCCGUAAAAAGGGACGGCCCGCCGCAGGAACCACAAACUCUGUUUUUAGUGGAACUUCUGAGUAUAAAAAACAAAUAAAUCAAAACUUUCAACAACGGAUCUCUUGGUUCUGGCAUCGAUGAAGAACGCAGC